CAACGAUAGUUUAGUUUAGGUUGAAGCUUAACCACUGGUGGCGUUGAUUGCGGAAUCUGUAACCGUCGUCGGCGAUGGCUUCUGCGUUUUGUAAAUCAGCGGCGAGAGUGGCUUCCAGUUCCUUCGCUAAUCGUUCUAGAAGCUUCGCUCAAAAAUCGUCAAUUCCUCUUCUAUUUUCUUCGCGCGUUUCUCGUGCUUCAAGGAUUUUGUCAGUUGUUGGAAGCGUUGAAUCUUUGAUGCCAUUUCAUAGUGCCAUUGCUGAUGCUAGACUUACUUCUAAUAUCGCCUCCGAUUCUACCUGCUGGAGCUGGCUUUCUCAAGGACUUGAAAAAACAUUGUGACAGGCCUGCUGGAUCCAUUCAAGAUGAAAGAAAAAAUGAAACAGAGAUAAUCCUAGUUUUUCUUUUGUCUCGCUGUAUUGUGUGCCAACUGCAGAAUUACUUUGCAGUUCCUCGGUGACAAAGACUAAAGAAUUCAAUCAUUUCAAUCCUUGUUGGGUUGCAUUAGAGUUAACGUUGCUUAACAUCUUAAUCUUGGCCUAUUUCCACUAUGGCUGUCACAUUAUCUGGAUUCCCAUCAUUCAGUAUCGAUGUAUCACAAAUUCGUAAAACUGUUGUUAUUCUUAAUGACGUAAACCUCCCAUCAGUUUCCACAACAUCAUGAUAUAAGACAAUACACUAUUCUCAUAUGAUAGUAUUUCUGUUUCUAAAGAUAAGAUUUUGUUGAAUAAAUUAUGGGAAUUAAGAAAAA
This is an RNA transcript of Cicer arietinum (chickpea), 750 nucleotides long. RefSeq lists it as uncharacterized. NCBI's taxonomy places the organism in Eukaryota, Viridiplantae, Streptophyta, Magnoliopsida, Fabales, Fabaceae. The record is from RefSeq and is a predicted model, not a curated record.